This 2934-nucleotide ribosomal RNA is filed under the name Enterobacter sp. RHBSTW-00975. Its description in RNAcentral is "23S ribosomal RNA". It matches the Rfam family "Bacterial large subunit ribosomal RNA". The record is from RNAcentral. Lineage: Bacteria; Pseudomonadati; Pseudomonadota; Gammaproteobacteria; Enterobacterales; Enterobacteriaceae.
GGGUUGUGAGGUUAAGCGACUAAGCGUACACGGUGGAUGCCCUGGCAGUCAGAGGCGAUGAAGGACGUGCUAAUCUGCGAAAAGCGCCGGCGAGGUGAUAUGAACCUUUGACCCGGCGAUGUCCGAAUGGGGAAACCCAGUGUGUUCCGACACACUAUCGUUAACUGAAUACAUAGGUUAACGAGGCGAACCGGGGGAACUGAAACAUCUAAGUACCCCGAGGAAAAGAAAUCAACCGAGAUUCCCCCAGUAGCGGCGAGCGAACGGGGAGCAGCCCAGAGUCUGAAUCAGCUUGUGUGUUAGUGGAAGCGUCUGGAAAGUCGCACGGUACAGGGUGACAGUCCCGUACACGAAAGCACACAGGUUGUGAACUCGAAGAGUAGGGCGGGACACGUGGUAUCCUGUCUGAAUAUGGGGGGACCAUCCUCCAAGGCUAAAUACUCCUGACUGACCGAUAGUGAACCAGUACCGUGAGGGAAAGGCGAAAAGAACCCCGGCGAGGGGAGUGAAAAAGAACCUGAAACCGUGUACGUACAAGCAGUGGGAGCCUCUUUUAUGGGGUGACUGCGUACCUUUUGUAUAAUGGGUCAGCGACUUAUAUUCUGUAGCAAGGUUAACCGUAUAGGGGAGCCGAAGGGAAACCGAGUCUUAACUGGGCGUUAAGUUGCAGGGUAUAGACCCGAAACCCGGUGAUCUAGCCAUGGGCAGGUUGAAGGUUGGGUAACACUAACUGGAGGACCGAACCGACUAAUGUUGAAAAAUUAGCGGAUGACUUGUGGCUGGGGGUGAAAGGCCAAUCAAACCGGGAGAUAGCUGGUUCUCCCCGAAAGCUAUUUAGGUAGCGCCUCGUGAACUCAUCUUCGGGGGUAGAGCACUGUUUCGGCUAGGGGGCCAUCCCGGCUUACCAACCCGAUGCAAACUACGAAUACCGAAGAAUGUUAUCACGGGAGACACACGGCGGGUGCUAACGUCCGUCGUGAAGAGGGAAACAACCCAGACCGCCAGCUAAGGUCCCAAAGUCAUGGUUAAGUGGGAAACGAUGUGGGAAGGCACAGACAGCCAGGAUGUUGGCUUAGAAGCAGCCAUCAUUUAAAGAAAGCGUAAUAGCUCACUGGUCGAGUCGGCCUGCGCGGAAGAUGUAACGGGGCUAAACCAUGCACCGAAGCUGCGGCAGCGACGCUUAUGCGUUGUUGGGUAGGGGAGCGUUCUGUAAGCCGUUGAAGGUGUCCUGUGAGGGGUGCUGGAGGUAUCAGAAGUGCGAAUGCUGACAUAAGUAACGAUAAAGCGGGUGAAAAGCCCGCUCGCCGGAAGACCAAGGGUUCCUGUCCAACGUUAAUCGGGGCAGGGUGAGUCGACCCCUAAGGCGAGGCCGAAAGGCGUAGUCGAUGGGAAACAGGUUAAUAUUCCUGUACUUGGUGUUACUGCGAAGGGGGGACGGAGAAGGCUAUGUUAGCCGGGCGACGGUUGUCCCGGUUUAAGCAUGUAGGCGGAACGAUUAGGUAAAUCCGGUCGUUUAUUAACGCUGAGGUGUGAUGACGAGGCACUACGGUGCUGAAGUAACAAAUGCCCUGCUUCCAGGAAAAGCCUCUAAGCAUCAGGUAACACGAAAUCGUACCCCAAACCGACACAGGUGGUCAGGUAGAGAAUACCAAGGCGCUUGAGAGAACUCGGGUGAAGGAACUAGGCAAAAUGGUGCCGUAACUUCGGGAGAAGGCACGCUGAUAUGUAGGUGAAGCCCCUGCGGGUGGAGCUGAAAUCAGUCGAAGAUACCAGCUGGCUGCAACUGUUUAUUAAAAACACAGCACUGUGCAAACACGAAAGUGGACGUAUACGGUGUGACGCCUGCCCGGUGCCGGAAGGUUAAUUGAUGGGGUUAGCGGUAACGCGAAGCUCUUGAUCGAAGCCCCGGUAAACGGCGGCCGUAACUAUAACGGUCCUAAGGUAGCGAAAUUCCUUGUCGGGUAAGUUCCGACCUGCACGAAUGGCGUAAUGAUGGCCAGGCUGUCUCCACCCGAGACUCAGUGAAAUUGAACUCGCUGUGAAGAUGCAGUGUACCCGCGGCAAGACGGAAAGACCCCGUGAACCUUUACUAUAGCUUGACACUGAACACUGGUCCUUGAUGUGUAGGAUAGGUGGGAGGCUUUGAAGCGUGGACGCCAGUCUGCGUGGAGCCAACCUUGAAAUACCACCCUUUAAUGGCUGGUGUUCUAACGUAGACCCGUAAUCCGGGUUGCGGACAGUGUCUGGUGGGUAGUUUGACUGGGGCGGUCUCCUCCCAAAGAGUAACGGAGGAGCACGAAGGUUAGCUAAUCCUGGUCGGACAUCAGGAGGUUAGUGCAAUGGCAUAAGCUAGCUUGACUGCGAGAGUGACGGCUCGAGCAGGUGCGAAAGCAGGUCAUAGUGAUCCGGUGGUUCUGAAUGGAAGGGCCAUCGCUCAACGGAUAAAAGGUACUCCGGGGAUAACAGGCUGAUACCGCCCAAGAGUUCAUAUCGACGGCGGUGUUUGGCACCUCGAUGUCGGCUCAUCACAUCCUGGGGCUGAAGUAGGUCCCAAGGGUAUGGCUGUUCGCCAUUUAAAGUGGUACGCGAGCUGGGUUUAGAACGUCGUGAGACAGUUCGGUCCCUAUCUGCCGUGGGCGCUGGAGAAUUGAGGGGGGCUGCUCCUAGUACGAGAGGACCGGAGUGGACGCAUCACUGGUGUUCGGGUUGUCAUGCCAAUGGCACUGCCCGGUAGCUAAAUGCGGAAGAGAUAAGUGCUGAAAGCAUCUAAGCACGAAACUUGCCCCGAGAUGAGUUCUCCCUGAGACUUUAAGUCUCCUGAAGGAACGUUGAAGACUACGACGUUGAUAGGUCGGGUGUGUAAGCGCAGCGAUGCGUUGAGCUAACCGAUACUAAUGAACCGUGAGGCUUAACCUUACAACGCCGAAGGUGUUU